This is a non-coding RNA of Meleagris gallopavo (turkey), 1278 nucleotides long. The record is from RefSeq and is a predicted model, not a curated record. Lineage: Eukaryota; Metazoa; Chordata; Aves; Galliformes; Phasianidae.
GGGCUCGGGCAGCUGUCCGCUGCUUUGGGGGAGCAACGGCAAGUUUGAAUGAACUCUGCGCGCUUCGUGCUUACUGGCGAACCAAGUGCUUGUACAGGGCAGUGUCCGUUUGCCUUAUGUAAGUGUCUGCUGUGCUAAUGAAUAAUGGAAUAAAAAUCCAGUGGCGUCUUUGGGUCCAGUAUCUCUCUCCUCUCGUAUCUCUCCCUGCAAAGAUCCCAUUCUGAGGAAUAUAGAAGAGUACAGCCUUGUCAUCCCCACCAGCACCGACUCAGAGGGCAGGUUCCUAUCCCACCUGGUGUCCGGACCUCCAAGAGCACGCUUCAGGAGAGCUGUGGACGAUUUGCAACGUGAAGCAGCAAAUGAGCAAAUAUUUUACAAUGUCACUGUUUUUGGAAGAGAGUUUCACUUCAGGUUGCGGCCAAACUCCAGGCUCGUUGCCCCUGGAGCAACAGUUGAAUGGCAGGAGGACUCGGAUGAGACUCGCAUCGAACCUCUCUAUGGGAAUUGCCUCUAUGUUGGGGAUAUCACUGAUCUGCCAAAUGCUUCAGUUGCUAUCAGCAAUUGCGAUGGGUUGCUGCAUGCAUUCCAGCUUGGAGAAGCAGCUUUCAAUGUUCUGUUUGCUGUGCACAGCUGUCCAAGGGCAAGAAGAACACCAGUGUUGUGCAAGAAGAGCAAUUUAGAAAGCAGAACGUGACCCUGGAGGCCUGCCUCUCAUAGGAAGCAGGAGUGCUUUGGUCUCCCUGUACCUUGCACGCAUCACUUUGUCUAGGGCAAGUUUUUCUUGCCUGGGACAUUGCAGAACUGGGGCGGAGCCUCGUUCCACAGCUUGAAUCCACGACCCAUGUGCCUGAGUCCAGUAUUCUUGGUUGUGUUGUCCAUUAUAAGAAUCGGGAGAAGAUUUGGUCUGGUGUGGGAGCACAUUUGUUGUUGCCCACGUCCUUGAAGCCAUACUGCAGCAUUAUUGCCUCAAUAUCUUUAAGCAUCUGGCUUUAAUGAUUUCCCUGAGAUUGUGCACUAAAUCUGUUUGGAACAACAAAUUGAACUCUGAUCCCUUGGGUCCCAUGUUCCAUCUCUACCCAUUCCAUCCUAAGUUUCUCUCUUUCUUUGGGGGGGAGAAUUUAAAACAGGUAUCGUUAGAAUUAUUGAAACUCCAAGAAAUAAUACUAUAUUCCCCAGCACUCAAUGGCCAAGCACUGAAGCUGAGUGCACUUAAUUCUCUCAAUUUACUUUUUCAUUUGUUGUGUUUGCAAAGUAUAUUAAAGAGUCUCUUGAACAAUA